ACAAGAGAUUACACCAAAGGACACUAACACCGAACAGAAACACAAGCAGCAGCAUCAAGUCUAUGCUACAAUAUUCAUAAAGCAUACAAACACCAAAGAGGUGAACACCAACCAUCCCAAUAAUCAGAAACAAAACUGAAAAUCACCAGCAGCAAUGAAAGCAUGUCCAGAAAACUCCAUCAGCAGACCCGCAGAACCGGAAAAGAGAUGGUAGAACACCCCAUAAACCUGAGAGGCAUCAUUGAAUUUGCUGCUCGUAGUGUAUGCACGAAGGAAACCAACUUAAGCAACCGAUUUAAGGAAGCGAGUGAAGGUAGCAGCUUUAUCAAAGUCUCCUUCUUCGCGGGCUCGUAAGAUAUUAAACAUAAGAAUAAGCCGAAUCCGAUUGCAAGCUGUUUGCUUCAUAAUCACUUGAGUUUCCUCUCCGAGUUGAUCGCAUUGGCGUUUAACAUCUCCAAACCUUUCUCCUAAAUUUCGUUGCUCCUCUCUUAUGCAUCUUUGAUCUUCCCUUAUCUUAUCCAUUUCCGAUUUUAUUCGUUGGGCCCUCACUUUCAAACUCUUCAUUUUUGGUUUGAAAGUCUUCUUCCUAUAUGCUCAUCGCCAUUUUAUCAGCUUAAAUUUGAAGCUAAAGUGCUCAAAGAUAUAAUCUUGGAAUGUAUUGAGUGAAAUGCCAUGAAGACUGGAUUGUAUAUUUAUACCAAGUGAAUGUUAGAGAACGCGUCUCAAAGAUAUAAAAACGCCAGUGUUGUCUAGGAAUCGGGCGCCGCGGUAAGAGUGGCUGGGAACACUCUAUGAGGUAAGAUUAUUGUUAUGAUUGGCUGCUGAUAUUUCUAUGUGGAAUCUUUUCUUGGCUUUUCUUGGUUUUUCUUGCUUCACAAACUUUUUCAAAAACGGAAUCUUUCUAUGUGAGCCUAUGCUUUAUUUUGUAUCGAUAUAACUUUUCAGAAAAAUUUUCACUUCAAAGUGCUAAUCAUGCUUUGCUCCUCGUUUCUUCUUAUUAUAACUUUUUUAUAUUAUCUUAUUAUUAAAAUAAUAAAAUAUUAUUUGAUGUGAUAUUUGUCUUUGAAAUUAGAAAAGUUUUAAAAUUUAAUUAUUUUUUUAAUUUUAUAUAAUUGAGGAUAAAUUUGCAUAAUCAAUUAAAUUAAUUCAUAAAAUUAUAAUUAUUAAUUAAUUUAUAAUAUCUUUUAAUAUAUAUACUUUAUAUAUAUUAGAUUCAUUUAUAAAUAAUAUAAUUACUGUUAUAUAUAUAUAUUUUGUGUGCAUGUGUGUAUAUAUAUAUGUACUUUAAAUAUAAAUAUAUUUACUUUCUAUUUUGUGUUAACAUUACAAAAAUUAUAACUCAUAAAAUUAUUAAUUACAAUAUAUAUACCUUUGUUUAUAUAAACUUAUAACAUAUAAAUCUAAAAGAAAGUUAUGAGAUAAGUAUAGUUAAUUGGAUAAUUGGGUACCCAUGAAGAAGAUUUUAAUAAUUUUUUUAUCUAAUCGGGUAUUUAAAUGGGUUAAGGUAAUUAUAGGGUAGUGGGAAUGUAUUAGGGUUAGGAUUAUUGUAGUAAUUUUUAAAAUUAUUCAGAUAGUUAAAAAGGUUAGGGUAUUUAAUUUUUACUAAGGUUAAGGUUCGGGUAUCUCAAAAUUUAAGGAUACCCUACCUGUUAGCAUCCUUAAUUAAAUCCAGAUUCGAUAUUAUCUAUAUUUGUUUUUUGCCAAAAAAAAUAUUUAAGUGAUAAAGUCUUGAAAGAGGUGUACUAUUUACUCUUUAGAUGAUCUUUUGAAAAUUCUCUUACCAUGGAAACUAUUUUGAAGUUUAUGUUGACAUUUUUCAACAUAGUUUCGUAAGGUAUAUAAAGUCUUGGCUAAAAGAGUUGGGAAUCUUUAAAACUCAUAAGAGUUAAUUUUAAGUGAUCUUCCAAAAAUUCUUCAAUAAGAUACAAUAUCUUGGAGUUUGCAAACAAAAUUUCCAAAAUAUUUCUUUACAGAAAUAGAGACUUUAGUAUAUCGUUAAGAGUCUUAAAAGUUACGUACACUCAUUUGAACGAAGAGAAAUAUUUCUUUUUAAUUUAUGUUUGUUCACAAAAAUGGUGUCUGCAUCAUUAUGCAAUGCAUGAUUCUCAUAAAACAAUAUGCAAUGAUUAGGAGUAACUAUAGACAUCCCUUUUAUUCGAAAUUAUUUAUUGUAAAUUUUUUAUUAAUUCGCAUUAGUUCAUUAUUAAUUAGUCCAAUUUUUAGCUUUUUCAUAUUAUUUUUAUUUGAGCUUUAAUUACGUUAAAUUAAACUCAACAAGUAAAUUAAGUUUAGGGUUAGUGUCCAACAUACAAACUUAGGGUCCAAAGUGCAAACUUAGGGUUCAAAUUGAAAUGAAUCUAUAUAUAUGUAUAUACCCAAAAAUAACAAAAACUAAAAAAUCAGUAAAUAAAAAUAUAAAAAUUUAUAAAAAAUCAAAAGGGAACAUUUCAUCUUGCAUUAACAGAUUUGAUUCCACAAAAUCAAGAUAAUAAAAGCAAAUAAAAAAUCAGGGAAAAUCAAGGAAAAAUAAAGAAAUAAAAAAUAAAAGGCCUAAUAUCUAAAAAAGUCUUUAAACUAUUCAAAAAAAUUCAAAUAGGCAUUUAUACUUUUAUUGUGUUCAAACAAGCCCUUAUACUUUUAUUUUGAGUCAAAUAAGCUCGUAUAACUAAUUGUUGAAUUAGUCAAAAUGUCACUUGUCAUUUUAUGUUAUAUGGCAUUGACAUGGCACUAACGUGGUAUAUUGACAUGUCAUAAUACAUGAUGAUUUGGUAUAUUAAUGUGAUAUGUUGACAUGGUCAUAUCGCAUUUUUCACGCUCUAUGUCAGCACCACAUGAAUAUAAAAUGAUAGUGUAUGUUUUGAUUAUUGGCAAUUAGUACACCAUUAUUUAUAAGAGCUUAUUUGACAUAAAAUAAAAGUACAAAUGCUUGAUUGAACAAAAUAAAAGAAUAAAGGCUUAUUUAAAUUUUUUUUGAAAAGUUUACAGAUUUUUUUUACCAUUAUGACAAAAUAAAAAGGGGAAGAGAUCCAAAUUACACAUUAAUAAAUUACCUACAAUAUUAGGAAAAUUAUUGAUGUAAAAACUCUCCCCUCUUCAAAAAAAGAAACCUCUCUCCCUCUAUUGCUAAUAAUAUCUUUUUGCAUUUUGAAAAGCAUGGUUUUAAUUGGAUUCUAUGCUAGUUUCUCACCAUGCAUUUUUAGAGAUCAAAACGCUUGUUAAAUGUCAAAAAUCAAAUUCUAUUUUUAAAUCUAAUGUUUUAUUUCUUUGUUCCAAAUUAAGCUCAGGAUUGGUUUGGAUGGAAGUCUGAGUGUUCUGACGUAUGUUUGCAAAAAAGCAAUAUUAGAUUCAAAAGGGGUUUUUCCUUGGUACUUUAGAAUAGCUCUUAUAACUUUAAAAUAUAAGCUUUUGUUAGUGUGUAAAAAAGGUGUAUAAACCCUUAUCAAUGUGUGAACAGAUCCUUGGAGCAAUUAAGAUACUAGUUUUUGAAUAAGUCGAUACAUUAAAACAUUUAAUUUGGAAAAAUAUGAAAAUUAAUUAUGCUUGAUUUAUUAGUACUUAAUAUUAUAUUAUUUACUAUUGCUUGCUGAUGUAGCCACACAAUUUGUCAACCAGUUUUCUUAUGCAUGAGCAACUUUUGUUAUGAUUUAAGAGCCUUCUCUCAUAACUAUUUAAAUAUUGAUUAAUUUCUUGCAGGUUUAGUCACCCACCUAAAACAAAAUUCUAAAAGAUAGAUCUCUCAAGUGUUCGCAGUACUCCCUUAUUAGAAUAACUAGAAUAUUACCCGUGUGCAACAUACGGACCUCUUUAUACUCCUCUCUUUUGCUUCAACGUCUUUUCUCUUUUCACUCUAUUUGCCCUUCACGUGGUUCACUCUGACGCCUUUGCACCCCUCUCUUUCUCUCUCUUUGCUUCAACAUCUUUUCUCUUUCACUGUCUCUGCCUUCCACACAGUUAACUCUGGAACCCUCAGGCUUUUUUUUAUGUAUGUUAUAAAAGUCACAACUUUCCACAUAGCAGCUUAGGGGAACAAAAACGUGGCCAAAUAUAGAGCCAAGUUUAAAUCUUCAAAUUAUUUCUUUCUUGCUGGCCAUCGGUUUAGUCAACUGGCCCAUCCAAGAAAGGAAAACAGAUUACACCGGAAGACACUAACACUAAACAGAAACACAUGCAGCAGCAUCAAGUCUAUACUACUCAUAAAGCAUACAAACACCAAAGUGGUGAACACCAACCAUCCUAAUAAUCUGAUCUUGAUAACUAGAACAGAAACCAAACUGAAAAUCACCGGCAGCAAUGAAAGCAUAUCCAGAAAACUCCAUCAGCAGACCCCCGGAUCUCAACAUUCACAAACCAGAAAAGCAUAAGAAUAAGCCAAUCUGAUCAUUGAUUUCGCUGCUCGUAGUGUAUGCACGAAGGAAACCAAUUUAAGCAACCAAUUUAAGGAAGCGAGUGAGGGUAGCAGCUUUAGCAAAGUCUCCUUCUUCGCGGGCUCCUAAGAUAUUGAGCAUAAGAAUAAACCGAAUCCGAUUGCAAGCUGUUUGCUUCAUAAUCACUUGAGUUUCCUCUCUGAGUUGAUCGCAUUGGCGUUUAACAUCUCCAAACCUGUCUCCUAAAUUUCGUUGCUCCUCUCUUAUGCAUCUUUGAUCUUCCCUUAUCUUAUCCAUUUCCGAUUUUAUUCGUUGGGCCCUCACUUUCAAACUCUUCAUUUUUGGUUUGAAAGUCUUCUUCCUCAUGCUCAUCGCCAUUUUAUCAGCUUAAAUUUGAAGCUCAAAGAAAACUAAAGCUGAAUGAGUUGGAGAUUUAAUCUUCGAUUGUGUUGAAUGAAAAGCCAUAAAGACUGGAAUAUAAAUAUACAUCUAACAAGUUACUGUUAGCGAACCGCGUCUGGUGUUCGGAGGAAAAACAAUAGAAUAAGGAAGAUGAAGAGAAACCGGAGUGAAAGGAGGAAGAAACAGCAGUUACAUAAUGAGGCCAGCAAUCGAACGAUUUUCAAGUGUUAAUAUAUUCCCAAGUGUAAGCGUCGCUCGGUUUCUCAAGUGUUAUCGAGCGAUUCCUUUUGUUAUGACUGAAUGAAACACAAGACUAUCGGUUUGGCUGACAUCCACUUAAUAUAUUCUCGUGGUCCCACACUGUUACUGCAAAAGUAUUUUAUUACGUCACAUACUUUUUCUUUGUGUAUUAUUUAUAUUAUUUUAUUCCUGAUAGUAGUGUUAUGUAAUAUGUAUUAGGAGUAAGAAACAAGAAUGAGGUCACCGCAAAGGUACUCCGUUAAAUACUUCAAAAAAAGGGAUAAACAAAGGUCUUUUAAAUUAAUUAAACUUCACCAUCAGCUUUUUUCAAUCAUUUGCAUGGUAUAUACAAAGACCUUCACAGCGAAUGAGAUUACACAAAUUAAAAUUGUUCAUAUAGAGAUUAUUGAAAGUUAAAGAGGGUGCAAAAUUACACAUAAUAUGUCUCCCCAUUCACAUAAUUGUUCAUAAUAUGUCUUAUCGAGCGAUUGCUUUUGUUUUGAGAGAAUGAAACACAGAUUAUUAGUCUGUUUUUAUUAUAGUGUUUCUACUAUAGUCUUGUGUGACUGGAAGUGACAGAUUAUUGGUGUGGUUGUUACAUCGAUUUAAUAUUCUCGUGGUCACAGCGUUAUGAUUUGCUUCUCAUAUUUUCUAGGAACUUCAUUUUCUUGGCUUUUGUGGCUGAAUAUGUCGUUCAAUUCACGUCACACUUAAACUUCAAAUACAAAGGUCAGUAAAGUCUAUUAGCAAUUCACGCCAAAGACAAGUUCUAGAAACCAAUAGAAACAAGGCACAUAAACGACAGAAUUAGAGAUGAAUGGAUUUCGUUUAAUUCCAACAAAUCCCUCCGUCAGAUUAAUUAGUUUUCAAUCUUCACCAUGCAAGCAUCUUCUAGAACUUGUAGAUCACAUCACUCUUUAAUGGCUUUGUAAAGAUAUCUGCAAGUUAGUCUUUAAACUAGCAAACUCCACCUCAAUCUCAUGGUCUUUUACCAAAUCCCGACAGUAGUGAUGUUUGUACGCAUUUCCUUCCACUCUUCGUUCUCUCUCAAAAAGCAAUGUAAGUCUGUUUUAUUAUUUUAGUUUUGAGUUGAGCUUAUUUUUUCUCUUUGCAGUUGGUAUGAGUUGUUAAUGUUUAUUUGGGUAUGUUUCACAUUAUUUUGCUGUUGGCAAUUUUUAGUUAUAGUUGCAUUUUCCGAAUGGUUGUUUUUGCAUAUUGUUGUUUAAUUUUCUACUCACGCAAGUGUACAUAUUGCAAAGGUAAUAUAGAGAUGAGUAGAGUGUCGAUUCCACAGAGAAUUGAAUUAAUCCUUGCAGUUAACUACUAAAAUUAACACACUUUAACUUUAUCUAGACAAUUAAAAUUAAAAAAGAAAAUUUAAAUUAAUAAACUAAUAACAAAAACUAAUCUAUUCAAAUUUACUUUAUUAAAUGUGAAUGACUACCAGAUCUAAGAUUAGAAUAUUUCUCAAUACUUUAUCUGAUUAUUAUCUCUCUCUUAACCUAGUUUAAUGGAUUAAGUUGGUAACCUAGAGUCCUAAAUUAUUUACAAGUCUCUAUCGAGUUUUUUAUAAAAAUAUCUCUCUCAAUUAAUUUACUAUAUGUCUAUACAAAUUAUAUUGAAGAAAGAUUCAUUAAGUUUAUGCUCUAAUCCUAGCUACGUAUGGUUUAUAGGUGUAUUUCUACCCUAUAUGCAAAUCAAAUCACCUAAUCAACUAAGUGUAUUCGAUCAUACGCUAUUCUAUUCAAGAUCUACCUAAAUCUCCUUUGUCAAGGUUUAACUUAGAUUUCCAAUUCAAUCUAAUUGGUGGCCAGUCAACUAGAAGCAUUAAGAACAGAAUAAAAUAAACAACUUAAAUCUAUCAAACAUAAGCAAAAAAGAGAUAAAUAAUUCAGACUACAUAUUGAGUUCAAUCAUAAUCUUAGAUAAAAAAUUUAGUUCCCUAUCAAGUCACACAUUAUUAUUGAAUAAAAUCUAAACAUUAAAAACAAAACUAAGAAAAUAAAAGAAUAAAAAAAAAUAUAAAAAAACUCAAGAAUUGUAUUCUUGAUCUCCAAAUCUCCUUGAAUUUUGCAAAUUCUUUUUAGCUUCAAUGACUCUAUGGCUUGACUCUUAGCUGUUAAUCUGAUGUUUCUUCAUUCUCUUUUUUUCUCAUCUGAAAGGUUGUUUUUAUAGGCUUUGAAGUUAGGCCAAGUUGGGUGAAGAAAGAAGUCAAUUUCAACUAUGAUUUUUAUUGGCUCCAUUAGUUUUUUAUGAUAAUAAAACAUUCCCAUUCAUUUGUGUCUAAUGCCUUUACUUAAGUGUGCAGGAAAAUUAAUGUAUAAAAUUAAUAAAUCAAUCUUUUAAAAUACAUAUCAAAAGAAAAAGGGAGAUAAAGAUAAAGAGACAUGACUGCUUAACAAGGAGGAAGCUCAUUAGUUGAAUAAGGAAGAAUGUUGGUUGGCCAAGAUUCAAAAUGGAGAAAUGGUAGGCUGAAGAAUAUUGAGAAAUAGAACCAACUUAGUCGACCAAGAAAUAGACUAGUCGACUAAGUGCAUACUGCUAGAAACAGGGAGUAGAAAACAGAGACGAUUUAAUCGACUAAGAUAUUGGUUAGUCGACCAAGAGCAUUCUGGCUGCAAGUUUGAAAGCUGCACUAAAAGACAGAGUAACGGCUAGAACUGACCCUCAACUAUCUCCAACGGCUAAAAAACUGUCAGACUGCCAUCAGAGUUGUUUCUCUAAGUAUAAAAGGGUCUUCCAAUGGUUAGAAAUUAGUUUUUGAGAGAAUUAAAAGCUUCCAAGUGAUAUAGAGCUGAAAAAUUAGAAAAUCUUCUCUGCAUUUUGCUUCACUUAAACGCCCAUCUUUUGUUAUUAUAUUCUGCACUCAACCUUGUACUAUUUAGAUCAACUUAUGAUCAUAGGUACUUUCUUUUAUUUCUCUUAUUGUAUUCUUAGAGUGAGAGAGUUACUCUAAGUGGUUGUUUCAAGCUAGGUUUGCUUGAAUGUGUUAAGGUUCUAACUUAGCCUUGAAAAGUCAGUUGGUGAGUUUUAGUUUAGCCUGUGCAAAACUAGUGUUAAAGGUUUUGACUGAGUCUUGUAAAAGCCAUUGUAAAGCUUGGUGAAAGCUUGUGAAUUUCACUGGUUGUUAAUGGAUUGUUUGAAAAAUCCUUCGUUGGAUAAUCAAGGUAGUAGAUGUAGGUCUUGGACCUAGCCACUAUAAAUUCUACUGUCUUGUUUACUCUAUUUUGUUUCAUUUUCUUUCCUUCAUUUGUCUCAACUUUAUCUAGACUUACAGACAAUUUUUGAAAGAGCCAAAUUAUGCUAUUCACCCCCCUCUAGCACAUAUUAUUGGGACCAACAAUUUCCUCAUCAAACUAUGUAGUCGCAGCUUUGCCCAAUUAAUUAACAGAAAUCAUAAUUGCUCUAGAAUUGUUGCAGUAUAUCAACUUCAAUAAGAUUUUUGACCAUAUUUCAGGCCAAACUAGGUGAAGUGGUAAUAAUAAAAGUUGUAGAUUUUUCUCUUAUCUUUCCAAUAGUUUAAGAAUCGCUUCAUUUAGAACUCUAUAGAGAAAGUUAUGGCUGAAAUACCGAAACAUGUGAAGUGUAAGUUAGUACCUUGAAAUUGCUCUCUUUCUUUUACUAAAAUUCUUCUUUCAAACACCUACAAAAGCACAAAUAAAUCAAUAACAACCUAUCUUGAUCAUAUUAACACCAAAUUAAGUAUAAAUUAAUCAUAAUUAGAUUGACUUACCUAAAAUAACUAAUUUAAAAUAAUUAAAUAAAAUCUACUAAUUUUUAUGCAUUACUACAAAAACUAAGCCAAAUCAUUAUUAAAAAUAAGCUCAAAUAACUCUACAUUAUAGAGUUAUCACAUAUUGUACAUACAAAUUUCUCGUCGAAUUUCUUGACUUGAAAAAUUAUGACACAAAUAUAAAAUAUUUUGAUGUGAGUUAUAAUAUUUGAAAAUUCCUCUGAUUAAUUUCUUCACUUCAGCCUUAAGAGUCAUGAACUCGGACUUAGUCUUGAUCACGAACUAAACUUGAUAUCUUCGCUUCAAAGGGCUUGACGACUUGAUUUUGAUUACGAACUAUAUUUGAUAUCUUCACCUCAAGGGUCUUGAUAACUUGAUCUUGAUAGUCUUGGUUACGAGCUAAACUUGAUAUCUUCACUUCAAACAUCUUGACGACUUGAUCUUGAUCACAAACUAUAUUUGAUAUCUCUGCCUUAAGGGUCUUGACAACUUGAUCUUGAUCAUGAACUAUGUUUGAUAUCUUUGCUUCAAGGGUCUUCACGACUUGAUCUUGAUCAUGAACUAUACUUGAUAUCUUCACCUCAAGGGUCUUCACGACUUAAUUUUGAUGUCAAGCUCAACUCUAUUAUAUACUUGCCAUGUCAUUCAUGUAUUUGAUAGCAUAUCUAUAUACUUGGAUGCCUCAAAAAAUCGUUAAAAAGUUGGUAUCGUACCUAAUGGUACAAUUAAGUUGAUUAAAGCCUCGAACUAGUCCAAAUAGAGAUUUGAAGAUGUAUUCGAGAGUUAUUGAAACUUAGAAUAUCUUAAUAUGGUGAUUCGGAGUUUGAUGAUUGAUUUGGAGUCCAAUCGGGAAUUUUCAUAACGUAAGGGCAAAAUGAUCAUUUUACCACCUGAGGGUAAAAUUGCAAUGUUGGAUGAAAUUUUUGACUAAGUUUGACUAAUUGGAGCAUGAUUUAAAUUUGAGAAAUGAACAAUUUUAAUUUCGACAUUUUUUCGAACAUAAGGGCAAAUAGUCAUUUUACGUGUCCAUAAGGGCAUAAUUGGAAUCUUUAAAAAUUUGCACCACCAUGACACUUGUCCAACCCAUAAACUUCACCCAUUAUCAUUUUGGCCCAUGGAUAAUUUUGUGGUGGUGAGAGAAUGCUUAAUUGUUAAGUGUUAAGCAUGAACCAAUUACAUGGUGACACGUGGUAAAUUUUAAUCCUUUUAUAAUUCCCUUUAAAAACCAGCACACACUCCUCCCAAAUCAUUCUCUCUUGGCCGGCCAAAGCAAAAAACAAAGAGAAAAGAAUAGAAACAAACCCUAGAGAGGAAAAUUUAAGAGAAACUUGUUGAAUUUCAAAGAACAAAGCAAUCAAAAGUAAGAUUUUUCAAUUUUAGCUUAAGAUCUACCUUUCCCAUGCUCUCUUUUUCAUUUUCCAUAGUUGAAACUCAAGAUUUCAUGAAGGAAAGUUUGCUAGCCGAACCUAGGGGGAGAGGUUUUGAUCACGGGUUUUGUUAGAUUUCAUGCUACAUACUCGUUUUUAGUUGUUUUGUGAUACUCGGUGUGAAAAACAAGCAUGAAAACCACAUGUUCUUCAUCAAACCCUCCUUGGCUGAAUUUACUAAAGGACAUAUUGAUGAUGAAUCUUGUUAUAUCUCAUGUUAUUUAACUCGUAUUUGAUGAAUUGUGGUGUCGGAUAUUGAAAACGGUUAUGAAAACGUAUAGUUCCUUUAGUGAACGAUUUGAACAAUAAUAAGUAAAUCAUAGUAAAUGGACUUGGAUUUGAUUUCUAAUGAUAUAGAUGGAUUUAUUGGACUAUGUUGACAUUGAUUAGCAUGUUAGUUCGGAAUCAGAAUGAAUUUCGGUUACGAUGAAUUAAGUCACAAUCAAGCUCAUUAAGGUACCUUGGUGUAUUUGGAAUAUUGGAAGUGUAAUGAAUAUAUUUGAAGUGGAAUUGGAUGUUUUGGUUAAUUCAACAGCGUAUAGUUCGAGUUAGGUCGAAUGCAAAUUCAAACCGAUCAAAAUUGAACUCACGUAGAAUACCAUCUUUAAGUGAUUAUUUGGACACUUCUCAUUCCAUUUCAUGCAUUCAUGUAGAGCCUGAAAUACUUUUAUAAUAGAAUGGGACAAAUAUAUUGAAUUACUUGUCGUGUAUUAUGUAUAGGUGUUGAGCCCCCUAAUAAGGGUAAAGAUAUUAUACCCGAGGACCAAGAAUAAGAGUACUCCAAACUCUCGUUAUUGUGAGUGAUCAGACUUUCAUCUUAACUAUCUAAAGUAGUUUAUACUCGUUUUUAUGUUUUAAAGAAAAAUGAGUUUAAAUUGUAAGUUAUUAUGUUUUAAAAGUGAAGUGUUGGUUAAACGAAAUGAGAUUUAUAACUAUUUUGAAAUUAAAUACUGGUUUUGGAAAUUGAGUAAGUGGAGACUGUAUACUCAUGUUAUAUAUAUAUAUGUUUUGACAUAUGGUUUGAAUUGAUGGCUUAUGACAAUGUGGUGGCAAGCAUGGUUAGAUUUCUGUUUGUGUGGAAUAUAUGAAUUGUUUUGCUUUGCCUUGACAAGCUGGGUAAUGCUAUAUUGGCCAUGUCAUGCUAUCGAAAUUUUUAUUAAUUUUGGGGGUUAUUUGAUUAGCUUACUGCAGUGGACGAGUUUCUGUGGACUAGCCUAUGAGAAGGGCAUGGUAAAUCCCGUUAUAUUUACCUUAAUACGAGAGGCGCGGAGGGUAUCUCCUAAGGUAAAGUUUAGAGUUCACUUCACCCCAAACCACCACGUGAAAGUGAAACUCAACCAACGCCAAGGAACGACUAUGUUUUUAAACGUGAAAACAUGUUUUAUGUGUAUAUGUUUUUUUAACUGCCUUGGCGGACUCGGUUGGAUGCCCGGCGCAAGGCAUCAUCGAGUACUAAUUUUUGGCACGAGCCAAAUUUUUACGAGAAUCAUUAGCCUUGUUGAUUUUUAUGAAAUGAAAUUGAUUUAUAUGAAAUGAAAUGAGAUUUGAUGUUAUGAAUCAUAUUAUGAUGAGAUAUUUUAAAUUGUCUCCGUUUACUCGGCUUUAGAUAUUAUAGAUGAAAUUUGCUUACUCACUGGGUUUAGAAAAACUCACCCCUUCUUUUCCCCCAUUUCAAGCUCAAGACAGUCUAUAGACAGUCAAUUUUGUCGAGGGUUGCUUUUGGAUUUGUAUCCUUAGAAAUCGAAAGUCUACAGUCUUGUACAAUUUCAGUUAUUUUGGGGGCCCACAUGUUAUUGUAGAAUAUUUUUGUAUACCUGGUUUAGUGCGCUAUUAUAUAUAUGAAUUUAUUUUGCUUUUACGCUACAAAAAUUAUUUAUGCACGAUUCUAUAAAUAUUGUUUUAUAAGAAAAUAAAAUAUUUUAUUUAAUAUUUUUAUUUAGUUUGAUUAGCCAUAAUUUCAUCUUAAAUGGAUAAUUUAGAUUACUAAAAUUAUUCUUAGAUAAGAAAUGUAUAUUUUUUGAUCGUAUACUAUAUUUUCAUCAAGUUUCAAAAUUUUGGAUAAAAUGACCAAAAUACCCCUGUGCAGUAGAAAUUACUUUUUGAUCAUUUUUUAUUUGAAAAUAGUCUAUAUUCUUUUAAAUAUGAUAUUUAAUAACUGUUACUCACAGGGGCGGCAGAAAACUGAUGCAAUAGCCUUACGAGGUUUCAGUUGGCAUUCCAAGUAAGGAAUGUCUAUCGAGACAUCGCGGAGGGUUGUCAUGGGCUCGAAGAGAGUACCGGGUUGUGACACUUGACCAUGAACACUUGAUAUUUUGAUCAUGAACUUUGCUGCCGCCGGAUAUCUUGAUCACGAACUUUGUUUCUACUUGAUCAUGAACUUCGCUGUCGCUUGAUAUCUUCACUUUAGAAAUCGUCUACUUUUCUCAAUCUCUGAAAAGCUCUGAAUCUUCGAAUGCCUUCGAAUGAAUGCAAGUGGAUUGGAGGAGCCCCUUAUUUAUAAUGCUAGGUGGGAGACUUUGAUGAGAAUGUAGUCUCUUUGAAUUAUCUCUAAAUUAUUUUAAUUUAUUUAGAGAUAAAUUAUAAUGACUCAUUAAAAGUCUUUUGAUUGACAGGAUUUUGAGUCAUUAAAUUUUGAUUGGUCGAAGUUAAGUAUUAUCUCUAAAUCAUCUUAAUUUAUUUGGAGAUAAAUUAAAUAAUAAAAUUUGAUUUUUAUCUCUAAAUUAUCAUAAUUAUUAGAGAUAAAUUAAAUGACCAAUAAUUAAAUUUUGAUUGGUCAAAAAUAUGAUAUUAUCUUUAAAUUAUCUUGAUUUAUUUAGAGACAAAUUAGAUUAUCAAUAAUUAAAUUUUAAUUGUUCCAAAUUAAAUAUUAUCUUCAAAUUAUCUCAAGGGAUAAAUACAUGACAUAUUAGUGAAUUAGUUCAACUAUGUGUCUUUGAAAUAAUCUAACGAAUAAAUUAAUUAUUUUAAAAUUAAUUAUAUGGUUAUGAUAUCAUCAAGUCCACAUUGCAGCACGUAAUUGGAUCAUAACUUUUUUUCUUCUACAAAUGCCCCUCAAGACUUGUUCACAUAUGAUUUUGAAUGAAGCAAGUGGACAAGUCUUGAAAUUUUAAAAAAUUUCUGGGAUUUCUUAGAAUCCUAGUAUGUCUUGGUAUACUUGCAAGCCAAGUUAAAUUUGAAUUAUACUUACCCAUAGGUAAGAGAAUUAUGAUCUUGGAAGAUGUAUAUUGCAAUAAACCUAUAGGAAGAACUAUAUUGUAGUUGGUAUUACAUUUUUUAGUCAACAAAGGCUCUCUCUUUUAACUCUAUAAAAGGGAAACUCCCUCGUUAAUUUUCUACACAUCGAAAUCAAUUUAAGAAUUGCAGGUGUUCCAUAAGCUAGUAAAAAAAUUCUUCAAGAUAUGCCACCUUGAUAGUUUUUUUAUUCUAUCAAAUAAGUCCUCAUACUCUUAUUACGUUCAAUCGAGCCUUCAUAUUUUUUAUUUUGAAUCAAAUAAAUCCUUAUACUUUUAUUUUAAGUCAAAUAAGCAUUUAUAACUAAUAGUUGACUUAAUCAAAAUAUCAUUUAUCAUUUUAUAUCAUAUGGUAGUGACGUGACUAACGUGACAUGUUGACAUGUUAUAAUAUAUUAUGAUAUGGUCAAAUCGUAUUUUUCACGCUCUAUGUCAGCACCACAUGGACAUAAAAUGAUAGUCGAUGUUUUAAUUAUUGACAAUUAGUUAACUAUUAUUUAUAAAAGCUUAUUUGACCCACAAUAAAAGUACAAAGGCUUGACUGAACAAAAUAAAAAAAUAUGGGCUUAUUUAAAUUUUUUUGAAAAAUUUACGAAUUUUUUUUAGCACUAAGGCAAAAUAAAAAGGGGAAGAGAUCCAAGUUACACAUUAAUAAAUCAAUUACAAUAUUAUGAAAAUUAUUGAUGUAAAAAUUCUUCCCUUUUCAUAAAAAUUAUUAUGAAAAUUUGUAAUAAAUCAAUUAUAUUUUAUUAGGAUCUCAGCCAACGUGAAGGGGAACUCAGCCAACGUCAAGGAACGGCUGUAUUUUUCUCAAACUAAAAUAUAUUUUAAGUGUAUACAAAAUUUUAACAGCCUUGGCGGACUCGGUUAGAUGCCCUGCGCAAGGUAUCACCGAGUAUGAGUUUUGGCACGAGCUAAAGUUUUAAGAAAUUCAUAAGCCAAGUUGAUUACUCGAUUUUUAUGGAUUGAUUUUAUUUGGUUGAAAUGAGUUGAAAGGUAAUGAAAUUACAGUAUGAUGAUUUAUUUUAAUUGUCUCCAUUUACUCGAUUUUAGAUAGUUUAGAUGGUAUCUGUUUACUAACUGGGAUUUUAUAAUCUCACCACCCUCAUUUCCUCACAUUUCAGGCUCGGGGAAUUUCAUAGUUAGCUGACUUUAACAAGGACCUUCAUUUGGAUUCGAAUCGGUAAAAGUUGUAGGUUUCCAACUUCCGAUGCAUUUUGGAUAGAUGUGGGCCCACGUGUCACUGUAAAAAAAAUUUUAUGCUUUGGUUAUUUGUUUUAUAGUAUAUAUGAAUAUAAUUAUCUUUUACGCUAUAAGAAUUAUGUACCGAUAGUUUUAUGAAAAUUAUUUUACAAGAAAAUAGUUUAUUUUAUUGAAUAUUUUUAUUAUAUUCAAAUGGUCAAGUUUUCACUUCAAAUGAACGUUUUAGAUACUUAAUUUUUUUUAAAAUCAUUAAAUAUAUAUUUUUGGCUUACCUACUACAUUUUUAGCAAGUUUUGAGCUUUUCGACAAAAAUGACGAAAAUGCCCCUGUGAGCCAAAAAAAAAUAUGUUAUGUUAUGAUUUGAAAAUGAUUUGUAAUCCUUCGUAUUUUGAUUAUUUGAUAACUAUUGCUCACCGGGGAAGUGCGAAAGUUGAUACGAGAGCCUUGCGAGGUUUCGAUCGACAUUCGGAGUGAAGAAUGUUUGUCGAGGCUUCGCGGCGGUUGUCACGGGCUCGAUGGGGAGUUCCGGGUCGUGACAUUAUGGCUUUGUAUACUUCAAGUUUUUUACUCUUUUGCCUUUAGAUCAACUUGAGCUUCUCAAGAGUCGACUCCUAGACUUGUGCCUUAAGGUUGUCUUAGCUUUUUAGCACCUUUCUUCAACUAUAUUUUCUUUGCCUUGUUCCAACAAUCAAAUAAUAAUUCAUGGCAUGUUUACCUUUUGUUUUCUUAGUUGAAUAUGCAUUGUUUGAAAGCUUUUAUAAUAUUUUUUAAUGAUGCAUGGCUUUUUAAACAAUUAUGUGGUCUUAGGGGAUUAAAAAUAUAUUUGAGACAAUUUAAAAUGCUUGACAUUAAGUUCAAAAUAACAUGUAAUUUUUGUCAAAUUAAAGCAUGAUGUAACUCAAGGCUAACAUUGUUCCUUGACGUUUGAAAGACCUUAAUAACUUUAUCAACUAUGUUAAGAGGAAGAUUCCUAAAUGGUCUGUUGUGCACGUCCCCCGUUCUGGUAAUAUGUUAAUUGACCAUCUUGCAAAAGCUGGAGUCAAUCAUGCUCAUGGGCAAACCAUAUUGGAAGGAGUGGUGUCACAUGGCACCACUCACUUCUUAAAAUGUUUUAAUUUUUAUAUUAUUUAUUUAAAGUUUUGGGUAGUUAAUAUAGUAAUGAACCCAUGAAUUUUUUUUGCAAUUUUAUAAGGACGGGGGUCAAAUACUCCAAGUAAAAGUGAUUUAUCAAAAGGUAAUUUAUGUAUUUUGUAGAGGCUUAUAUUUAGUUUUAAUGAAUGAAUAGAAAAUUGUCAUUUCUUUAGUAACUGAAUUUGAUAAUUUGCUAUGUAAGAUUAUAUUUUAUUUAAUUCUAAUAUUUUAAUUUAUGCUAAUGAGUACUAAUUUUUAACAAGUUAUAUAAAUUUAGAUAAAUAAGUCAUGAAAAGAUAUUUUAAAAGAAAAAAAAUUAUCUCACAAGGCUUAGAUCUCGUACAAUAACAAAAUUCUACUAAUGAUGAUACUUAACAGUAUUUUUCUAAGUAAAAUUGUGUUGAAUUUGAUAUAAGUACUCUUUCAAUAGAUCUUGAAUAAAAAAAAAAUUUUGAAUAUCAUCCUAUUGAAUGACAUCACUUAAAAAAAUCCACCGACGCCGGUUACCAUCCACAAGUACAGGCCGUAAGGCCCUGUUGGUACGAGCAACUGCCAUUCCUUAUAUCAGUUAAGCCUUCAAACAGUCAUUCUUUAUAUAAUAUAUAUAAUUUUGGCAAGUGUUAAAAUUAUGAAUUAACUAAUAAAUAUAAUUUUUUUUUUGUGUAACUCAAUCACGUAAAUAUAUUUUCUGAUGGUAUAUAAAAAAUUGCUGCACAUUAAAGAAGAAAACAGAAAAAGUGAGAUAACAAUGUUAAUUACAUAAAUUAUGUUUGCUGCUUCUAUCAGAAACCAAUUUAAGGAAGUUGGAUUAAAUAGAUCUUUAUAAUUAACAGUUAAUUAAAAAUAAUUAAUCAAAAUGUAACAUUGACAUGAUGUUAUGUUAUUAUAUUACAUAACAUGCAACAUCAUCAUUCACUAUGACAUGUCAGUAUGACUCAUCGAUAUUACAUGACAUAAAAAAGAUAAGUAACAUUUUGAUUAAUAAUAGUUAAUUAACUAUUAAUUAGUUAUAAGGUAAAAAAAACUUAUUUAAAAUUUUUUUUAAGUAUUAUAUAAUCUACUUCUUAUUUGUUAAACAAUGUGUACAUCACUAUUAAUGAUUAAAUUAAUAGGAUGUCAUAGAUAGGAACUAAGCUAAAGGAAUUAAAAACGCGAAUGGAGAAGAGAUACAGUUCCGCUAAUAAAAUGGGAAUGCUUUUUUAGUGGUCGUUUUCAAUAUUGUAUUUCUUGGGUCACCGCCCUAACCGUCCUUCAAUUAUCUUUUGUAAAUUGACUUCUUAAAGUAGCAAGCCUUGACAAAAUUCAUUAUGCACCAAAAUGAAAGCCAUACGACUCCGUUUUUAUAUGCAAAUCCUAUUAUUCUUUAUGUUUUUUAAUGAAGUCUAAAUUUGAACAAGAGUAAUAAUUUUAACAAUGUACUUUUAGGUUGGUUAAAAAGAUUUAAAAAAACUAACAGUAAAAUGAAUAUUUCAAAAAAAGUAAAAAAAAAUAAUCUUUUUUCUUUGCAGUUAAUUUUUUUUACUAUUUUUUAAUCAAAUGAAAAGUAUAAUGUUAUAAUUACAAUACUUGAUUAAACAUUAAGAAUCCAUCACCCUAAAUAAACUGAUAAAUUUUGGAUUUUAUUAAGUUUGCUUUAUCAAAGUCUCCUUCUUCGUGGGCUCGUAAGAUAUUAAACAUAAGAAUAAGCCGAAUCCGAUUGCAAGCUGUUUGCUUCAUAAUCACUUUGAGUUUCCUCUGAGUUGAUCGUGUUGGCGUUUAACAUCUCCAAACCUUUCCCCUAUAUUUCUUUUCUCCUCUCUUGUAAUUUUUAAUUUUUUUCUUUCCUAUUUCUGAUUUUAUUCGUUGGGACCUCACUUUCAGACUCUUCAUUUUUGGUUCGAAGGCCUUGUUCCUCAUG
Molecule: long non-coding RNA, 17627 nt
Filed under: Theobroma cacao (cacao)
Lineage: Eukaryota; Viridiplantae; Streptophyta; Magnoliopsida; Malvales; Malvaceae
Description: long non-coding RNA (TCAC_LNC004614)
Source: RNAcentral